CCCCAUUAAUAUCUGUAUCACUCCCACACAUGAAAUCUGUAUGCUAAUACCGUAUUUGUUAUUCGCAGGAUGUGAAUUCCCUUCUGCUUUUUCAUGGUGCUGAGAGUAUGCCCGAGAAUAACAAGAGGUUGAGCCUGUUCAGAGAAAGAGUAACCAGACACCACGAGGCUCAUGGAAGCCCUUGUUAUUUAGCAAUGGAGUAG
RNAcentral lists this long non-coding RNA (203 nucleotides) under Mus spicilegus (steppe mouse). RNAcentral describes it as "lncRNA (ENSMSIG00000008436.1)". Lineage: Eukaryota; Metazoa; Chordata; Mammalia; Rodentia; Muridae. The record is from RNAcentral.